UUCUAGCCCAGAUAGAAGUGGAAAUCCUUUUUGAGGUUUUUCUCCGAAAAAAGAUUGAAACGGAUAGCUGGAAAUAGC
RNAcentral lists this small RNA (78 nucleotides) under Flavobacterium swingsii. Its description in RNAcentral is "Flavo-1 RNA". It matches the Rfam family "Flavo-1 RNA". The record is from RNAcentral. Lineage: Bacteria; Pseudomonadati; Bacteroidota; Flavobacteriia; Flavobacteriales; Flavobacteriaceae.